Molecule: long non-coding RNA, 147 nt
Organism: Homo sapiens (human)
Lineage: Eukaryota; Metazoa; Chordata; Mammalia; Primates; Hominidae
Source: Ensembl
GUUUAUAUUGCCUGGAUGCCUGACUUGGAAGUUCAUGGUACAGUUCAGGGCCUUGAAACAGGGCAGGGCUUGAGCCCCAACUGUGCACAAAGCACUGGGCUGGAUCUUCUGAGACAGAGGAGCCUUCUCUCCCCUUCCUGCCUCCAG